Molecule: small nucleolar RNA, 86 nt
Filed under: Exophiala mesophila
Lineage: Eukaryota; Fungi; Ascomycota; Eurotiomycetes; Chaetothyriales; Herpotrichiellaceae
Source: RNAcentral
UCAUGAUGAUCCCCUUUAGAUGACGAGUCUUAUCCAGCUGUGCUGAUGCAGAGACACAUCAAUUACCAUUCAUGCAUAAACUGAAU